This 271-nucleotide unclassified non-coding RNA is filed under the name uncultured fungus. RNAcentral describes it as "partial contains small subunit ribosomal RNA, internal transcribed spacer 1, and 5.8S ribosomal RNA". The stretch from base 1 to 73 matches the Rfam family "Eukaryotic small subunit ribosomal RNA", at positions 1759 to 1831 of the family's 1831-position model. Lineage: Eukaryota; Fungi. The record is from RNAcentral.
GCAAACUUGGUCAUUUAGAGGAAGUAAAAGUCGUAACAAGGUCUCCGUAGGUGAACCUGCGGAGGGAUCAUUACUGAGUGAGGGCCUUCGGGCUCGACCUCCAACCCUUUGUGAACCAAACUUGUUGCUUCGGGGGCGACCCUGCCGGCAUUCGUCAGCGGGCGCCCCCGGAGGCCAUCAAACACUGCAUCUAUGCGUCGGAGUUUAAAUUCAAUUAAACAAAACUUUCAACAACGGAUCUCUUGGUUCUGGCAUCGAUGAAGAACGCAGC